This 487-nucleotide ribosomal RNA is filed under the name uncultured bacterium. Its description in RNAcentral is "bacterial SSU rRNA". It matches the Rfam family "Bacterial small subunit ribosomal RNA", at positions 29 to 507 of the family's 1533-position model. The record is from RNAcentral.
AUGAACGCUAGCUACAGGCUUAACACAUGCAAGUCGAGGGGCAGCAUGAAGUCAGCUUGCUGACUUUGAUGGCGACCGGCGCACGGGUGAGUAACGCGUGAGCAACUUGCCCGUUUCUGGGGAAUAACCGGUGGAAACGCCGACUAAUACCCCAUGGCAUCACAUCAAGGCAUCUUUUUGUGAUUAAAGAAAUUCGGAUAAGGAUAGGCUCGCGUGACAUUAGCUAGACGGCGGGGUAACGGCCCACCGUGGCGACGAUGUCUAGGGGUUCUGAGAGGAAGGUCCCCCACACUGGAACUGAGACACGGUCCAGACUCCUACGGGAGGCAGCAGUGAGGAAUAUUGGUCAAUGGUCUGACGACUGAACCAGCCAUGCCGCGUGAAGGUCACGGCCCUAUGGGUCUUAAACUUCUUUUGCGAGGGAGCAAUAAGGUCUACGUGUAGUCCGAUGAGAGUACCUCGCGAAUAAGCAUCGGCUAACUCCGUG